Long non-coding RNA from Loxodonta africana (African savanna elephant), 586 nucleotides. RefSeq lists it as uncharacterized. The record is from RefSeq and is a predicted model, not a curated record. NCBI's taxonomy places the organism in Eukaryota, Metazoa, Chordata, Mammalia, Proboscidea, Elephantidae. The transcript is spliced from 3 exons.
CUUAUCCGUUGGGUCUUGCAACGAUAAAGCGAAAAUAAACUGUCAGUUAUGACUAUUUCAAUCUGUUCCUUUGGAAAAGGGAAACAGGUGCUAGUCCAGCAUAGCUGCAUCCUGAGACUUAGCAAAGGAUAACAGUUUAGGAUGACAAUGCUAAACAUGCUGACAGGCGAUCAUUCCUGCGGUGGCCUCUCCAUUCUUGCUCUCUCCCGACACCCUAAGGCUCUGGAGACAGGCAGCGACAGCCAUCUUCGGCAGCGGCCCGGCAGCCGCAACCCAAGCCGGGUAGGCCUCGAUCCUUCAACUAUCCUCGUGGGCUCAAGGCCGAGCCUCGAGAGAGAAGCAAAAGGACAGGGCGUUGGAGAGCUUCCGCCAGUCCCGGGAUUUCCAAAUUGCUGCGGAUAGAGGCGGAAACCGAGGCGGGAGGAGGCUGCACUCCAACGACCUGGCGGAGACGGCCCAGCAGGUCCGAAAACGCACGAGAGAGAGCAAUAAAAUCAAUCUAGACAAAAUCAGGAGAUAUGCGUUAAACUCUGGGAAAAGCCAAGAUCAUAUAAGAACUCAUAGAAAGAAAUGGACAGAUGCAGGU